This 117-nucleotide ribosomal RNA is filed under the name Danio rerio (zebrafish). Lineage: Eukaryota; Metazoa; Chordata; Actinopteri; Cypriniformes; Danionidae. The record is from RNAcentral.
GGCCACAGCCAUGUCACCCUGCAGCCCAAGACCGGUUACACACUGAAGCUAAGCAGGGCUGAGCCUGGUAAGUACCUGGAUGGGAGACCACUAGGGAACACUAGGUUGCUGUUGGAA